Molecule: ribosomal RNA, 429 nt
Filed under: Chloroflexota bacterium
Lineage: Bacteria; Bacillati; Chloroflexota
Description: Chloroflexi bacterium partial 16S ribosomal RNA
Rfam family: Bacterial small subunit ribosomal RNA
Source: RNAcentral
UGGGGAAUAUUGCACAAUGGGCGCAAGCCUGAUGCAGCCAUGCCGCGUGUAUGAAGAAGGCCUUCGGGUUGUAAAGUACUUUCAGCGGGGAGGAAGGGAGUAAAGUUAAUACCUUUGCUCAUUGACGUUACCCGCAGAAGAAGCACCGGCUAACUCCGUGCCAGCGGCCGCGGUAAUACGGAGGGUGCAAGCGUUAAUCGGAAUUACUGGGCGUAAAGCGCACGCAGGCGGUUUGUUAAGUCAGAUGUGAAAUCCCCGGGCUCAACCUGGGAACUGCAUCUGAUACUGGCAAGCUUGAGUCUCGUAGAGGGGGGUAGAAUUCCAGGUGUAGCGGUGAAAUGCGUAGAGAUCUGGAGGAAUACCGGUGGCGAAGGCGGCCCCCUGGACGAAGACUGACGCUCAGGUGCGAAAGCGUGGGGAGCAAACAGG